RNAcentral lists this ribosomal RNA (301 nucleotides) under uncultured bacterium. RNAcentral's name for it is "partial 16S ribosomal RNA". It matches the Rfam family "Bacterial small subunit ribosomal RNA", at positions 509 to 809 of the family's 1533-position model. The record is from RNAcentral.
CAGCCGCCGCGGGAAUACGUAGGUGGCAAGCGUUGUCCGGAAUCAUUGGGCGUAAAGGGCUCGCAGGCGGUCUCUUAAGUCUGAUGUGAAAGCCCCCGGCUCAACCGGGGAGGGUCAUUGGAAACUGGGAAACUUGAGUGCAGAAGAGGAGAGUAGAAUUCCACGUGUAGCGGUGAAAUGCGUAGAGAUGUGGAGGAACACCAGUGGCGAAGGCGACUCUCUGGUCUGUAACUGACGCUGAGGAGCGAAAGCGUGGGGAGCGAACAGGAUUAGAUACCCCCGUAGUCCCUGUCUCUUAUAU